UACGGAAGGCAGCAGUGGGGAAUAUUGCACAAUGGGCGAAAGCCUGAUGCAGCUAUGCCGCGUGUAUGAAGAAGGCCUUAGGGUUGUAAAGUACUUUCAUCGGGGAGGAAAAACAAAACUAAUAAUUUUAUUUCUUGACGUUACCCGAAAAAGAAGCACCGGCUAACUCCGUGCCAGCAGCCGCGGUAAUACGGAGGGUGCUAGCGUUAAUCAGAAUUACUGGGCGUAAAGAGCACGUAGGUGGUUUUUUUAAAGUCAGAUGUGAAUCCCUGGGCUUAACCUAGGAACUGCAUUUUGAAACUGAAAUACUAGAGUAUCGUAGAGGGAGGUAGAAUUCUAGGUGUAGCGGUGAAAUGCGUAGAUAUCUGGAGGAAUACCUGUGGCGAAAGCGGCCUCCUAAACGAAUACUGACACUGAGGUGCGAAAGCGUGGGGAGCGAAACAGGGAUUAGAUACC
RNAcentral lists this ribosomal RNA (456 nucleotides) under uncultured bacterium. RNAcentral's name for it is "bacterial SSU rRNA". It matches the Rfam family "Bacterial small subunit ribosomal RNA", at positions 340 to 786 of the family's 1533-position model. The record is from RNAcentral.